Molecule: long non-coding RNA, 833 nt
Organism: Chenopodium quinoa (quinoa)
Lineage: Eukaryota; Viridiplantae; Streptophyta; Magnoliopsida; Caryophyllales; Amaranthaceae
Exons: 2
Source: RefSeq, a predicted model, not a curated record
GAUUUUUGUUCAUUAUUUUGUUCGACUUUUGUGAAUUAUUUUUGUUUGAUUUUUGUGAAAUAUUUAUGUUCGAAAAAUUUGAUCUGUCAAUUAUUUUUUUUUUGUUCGAAUUAGUUCGAUUUUUGCAAAUUAAUGUCAAUUUUUGAAUUUUUUUUUGAGUAUGUGUAUUCCAACAAUAGAUCUGUUGCUGCUAUGGCUAUUACUACAGCCUCUUCUACUCUGCCUACUGCCCCUCCUAUCUUCUUCAAGGUUAAUUUAUAUAUAUUUUGUAGUUGAAGGCAUUUGGUGAAUUUUAUGAAGAAAUUGAUAACAAGAGUGUCGUUUUGUCCACUUUCGAAACAAGAAACAUUGAGAUGAAAUGGAAGAGCAAUGCAAACAAACAUGAUUGUGGAGUAUUUUUGUUGAAGCACAUGGAAACCUAUGAAGGACAAUGUCAAAAACAAUGAAAUUCGGGGCUAGAGAAGGGUAAUUUUGAGCAAAUGAAAAGGUUAUGAGUGGAGUAUUGUGGGAAGAUUAUAACAUCAGAAGUAAAUGAAGAACGGAAAAGAGUGAUGAAGAUGGCUAGAAAGUGGUCAAAGCUGAACAAAAAUUGAUAUAUGAUUGUGUAAAUCUUAAGUUUAUAUCUUUAGACAUAUAUUUAAAACAAUAUAUAGUACAUUUUUUGUACAAAUAUGGAGAUGACUAUUUUGAACAUGGGUAUCAUUUGGAAUAUUAAUAUCAUUUGAAACAUUAACCUGAUUUGAAACAUUAUUUUUAUAAUGUUCUAAAGUAUUUCUGAUUUGGAAUAAGCUUAAGUUUUUCUUUCGUACAAUGAAGAAGGAAGAGGAAAGGAA